This 468-nucleotide ribosomal RNA is filed under the name uncultured bacterium. RNAcentral's name for it is "partial 16S ribosomal RNA". It matches the Rfam family "Bacterial small subunit ribosomal RNA", at positions 28 to 507 of the family's 1533-position model. The record is from RNAcentral.
GACGAACGCUGGCGGCGUGCUUAACACAUGCAAGUCGAACGGAAAGGCCCUGCUUUUGUGGGGUGCUCGAGUGGCGAACGGGUGAGUAACACGUGAGUAACCUGCCCUUGACUUUGGGAUAACUUCUGGAAACUGGGGCUAAUACCGGAUAGGAGCUCCUGCUGCAUGGUGGGGGUUGGAAAGUUUCGGCGGUUGGGGAUGGACUCGCGGCUUAUCAGCUUGUUGGUGGGGUAGUGGCUUACCAAGGCUUUGACGGGUAGCCGGCCUGAGAGGGUGACCGGCCACAUUGGGACUGAGAUACGGCCCAGACUCCUACGGGAGGCAGCAGUGGGGAAUAUUGCACAAUGGGCGGAAGCCUGAUGCAGCAACGCCGCGUGCGGGAUGACGGCCGUCGGGUUGUAAACCGCUUUCGCCUGUGACGAAGCGUGAGUGACGGUAAUGGGUAAAGAAGCACCGGCUAACUACGUG